Molecule: long non-coding RNA, 266 nt
Filed under: Trifolium pratense (red clover)
Lineage: Eukaryota; Viridiplantae; Streptophyta; Magnoliopsida; Fabales; Fabaceae
Description: long non-coding RNA (TPRA_LNC012296)
Source: RNAcentral
CUUAACGUAAACCUAGGUUAAAAUAGACACACAAAAAAUGCAAUUAAUCAUAGUUGAAAAUUUACUGCAGAAUGAAUGAAUGAUUAACAAAAAACGAAGAAACAGAUAAUAUAGAUCGAUGAAAUUAAGAUUAUGAUGGAAACGAAAUGAAGGUGGAAAAUGGUGAGAGAGAAGGCGAACCAUUGUUGAGGAAGGCGGAUCUCUUUCUGCGAGCGAGCGAGAGUGAUGAAAGAGUGAGAGCUAGGGUUAAGAAAGGUUUAGGUUUA